This 650-nucleotide unclassified non-coding RNA is filed under the name Arabidopsis thaliana (thale cress). Lineage: Eukaryota; Viridiplantae; Streptophyta; Magnoliopsida; Brassicales; Brassicaceae. The record is from RNAcentral.
AGGAGGAAGAAGAAGAAGAAGAUGUAGAGGUUGUUGGUAUGGGGUGAAUAAAGAGAUGAUAGAGGAGAGGGACUUUUCGUAAAUCCCUUUGGGAAAUGAAAAAAAGAGAAAUGAGAGGAUAGGGAAGAAGGAAGAUGAGCUUUGAAAGCAAGAAAAGAGAGCGGCGCCGCUAGUUGGGAAUUGCAAGUGAAGAAAACAAAAUACGUGUCUUUUUGUUUGAUGCAGAGAGAAAAAAAAGAUAGGGAGGAGACAAGUGGGGAAUGGAUGAUGAGAGAGGGAGAGGGACAUCCCCCAUUUCCCAAAUCUGGAGUGUGCUAUGAAUCAAUUCGGUCUCUUUCACAUCUCUCUUGUUGGCCUCAUUUUCACUCUUUUAAGUUUUAUCUUCUUCUCCUUCAUCAUUAUUAACUUAUCCAUGUUACUAUUUGGUUAACACUAUACAAUUCAUCUACCAACUGUCCGUCAACGCUAUUCGUUUUCAAUAUCAUUUUUUUCUCUUGGGAACUAUUUUUAAAAAUUUGAAUAUCUUCCCACGAAAAACAUAUCAUUUGUGGUAAGGUUUGUUGUAAUGCAUGCAGGACUGAAUGUAUGAUACAUAUAAAUUUGAAUAAAUUUGAUAGUAUAGUUAUAAACUUAACGAAAUCUAAUUUGCG